UACGAAGGGGGCUAGCGUUGUUCGGAAUCACUGGGCGUAAAGCGCACGCCGGCGGAUUGAUAAGUCGGGGGUGAAAUCCCGGGGCUCAACCUCGGAAUUGCCUUCGAUACUGUCUGUCUUGAGUCCGGGAGAGGUGAGUGGAAUUCCUAGUGUAGAGGUGAAAUUCGUAGAUAUUAGGAAGAACACCAGUGGCGAAGGCGGCUCACUGGCCCGGUACUGACGCUCAUGUGCGAAAGCGUGGGGAGCAAACAGG
RNAcentral lists this ribosomal RNA (253 nucleotides) under uncultured bacterium. Its description in RNAcentral is "partial 16S ribosomal RNA". It matches the Rfam family "Bacterial small subunit ribosomal RNA", at positions 524 to 776 of the family's 1533-position model. The record is from RNAcentral.